This 465-nucleotide ribosomal RNA is filed under the name Vreelandella stevensii. Its description in RNAcentral is "partial 16S ribosomal RNA". It matches the Rfam family "Bacterial small subunit ribosomal RNA", at positions 338 to 795 of the family's 1533-position model. The record is from RNAcentral. Lineage: Bacteria; Pseudomonadati; Pseudomonadota; Gammaproteobacteria; Oceanospirillales; Halomonadaceae.
CCUACGGGGGGCAGCAGUGGGGAAUAUUGGACAAUGGGGGCAACCCUGAUCCAGCCAUGCCGCGUGUGUGAAGAAGGCCCUCGGGUUGUAAAGCACUUUCAGUGAGGAAGAACGCCUGGUGGUUAAUACCCAUCAGGAAAGACAUCACUCACAGAAGAAGCACCGGCUAACUCCGUGCCAGCAGCCGCGGUAAUACGGAGGGUGCGAGCGUUAAUCGGAAUUACUGGGCGUAAAGCGCGCGUAGGUGGCUUGAUAAGCCGGUUGUGAAAGCCCCGGGCUCAACCUGGGAACGGCAUCCGGAACUGUCAAGCUAGAGUGCAGGAGAGGAAGGUAGAACUCCCGGUGUAGCGGUGAAAUGCGUAGAGAUCGGGAGGAAUACCAGUGGCGAAGGCGGCCUUCUGGACUGACACUGACACUGAGGUGCGAAAGCGUGGGUAGCAAACAGGAUUAGAUACCCCUGUAGUC